UAUUGACUAGUGCUAGAAUAUUACUGUUCAAAAAAUUGUUGCAUUGUCAUGUCCUCUAUCAUUUGUAUAAAAUCCAUACAUAGUUAAGAUCAUAAACACUUGAAUGCUGAUUUUGUUGUACAGUGUCACAUUCGCAGCGAAAUUUCCUUCCAAUUGUGAUGAUCAUCGUGGAUAAUUGGAUAUUCUCUUUUGCACCUUUUGGAUCUUUCCUUUUGACCCCACCCCAACACCUAGUGCACACCAUAUUUUGGAUGACGACUCCAUUGUUGCUAAGAGAAAGAUGGGUUGAAGCUUGAAGAUUGAGCCUUUUCUUAUUUUUUAAAACUUCAACUUAAACUCAAAUAUUUUUUUAAUUCUUAUUACUUAUUAAAUUCACUUUUUUUUUUAUUAUUGUUACUUUCUCUAUCUAUUUGUUAUUUUUGUUACCUUAUGUUGUCUUAUAACGAAGAUUGAGAAAUGUCUAAUUAUACUUAACGUUAAAUCA
This is a non-coding RNA of Cajanus cajan (pigeon pea), 484 nucleotides long. Lineage: Eukaryota; Viridiplantae; Streptophyta; Magnoliopsida; Fabales; Fabaceae. The record is from RefSeq and is a predicted model, not a curated record.